UGAGGCCGAAGGGUAAAAGGGAAGCAGGUGAGAUGCCUGCACGAUCUCGUCACUGUAUAUGCGGAGCGGAGCAGAUAUCCUGCGAGCGUGAGAACGUGAGCGGAGCCACUGAGAACAUCGGGAAGGCGUAUCUGAGCCGUGAUGAGGCAUGAGUCAGGAAACCUGCCGUAACUGCU
This 176-nucleotide non-coding RNA is filed under the name uncultured Ruminococcus sp. Lineage: Bacteria; Bacillati; Bacillota; Clostridia; Eubacteriales; Oscillospiraceae. The record is from RNAcentral.